UACAGAGGUCCCAAGCGUUACUGAGAAUCACUGGGUUUAAAGGGUGCGUAGGUGGUCCGUUAAGUCAGUUGUGAAAUCCCCGGGCUCAACCCGGGAAAUGCUUCUGAUACUGGCGGACUUGAGGCCAGUAGGGGUCACUAGAACUGACGGUGGAGCGGUGAAAUGCGCAGAUAUCGGGAGGAACACCAAUGGCGAAGGCAGCUCGCUGGGACGUUACUGACGCUGAGACGCGAAAGCGUGGGGAGCAAACAGG
RNAcentral lists this ribosomal RNA (253 nucleotides) under uncultured bacterium. RNAcentral's name for it is "partial 16S ribosomal RNA". It matches the Rfam family "Bacterial small subunit ribosomal RNA", at positions 524 to 776 of the family's 1533-position model. The record is from RNAcentral.